GACGAACGCUGGCGGCGUGCUUAACACAUGCAAGUCGAACGGAAAGGCCCUGCUUUUGUGGGGUGCUCGAGUGGCGAACGGGUGAGUAACACGUGAGUAACCUGCCCUUGACUUUGGGAUAACUUCAGGAAACUGGGGCUAAUACCGGAUAGGAGCUCCUGCUGCAUGGUGGGGGUUGGAAAGUUUCGGCGGUUGGGGAUGGACUCGCGGCUUAUCAGCUUGUUGGUGGGGUAGUGGCUUACCAAGGCUUUGACGGGUAGCCGGCCUGUGAGGGUGACCGGCGACAUUGGGACUGAGAUACGGCCCAGACUCCUACGGGAGGCAGCAGUGGGGAAUAUUGCACAAUGGGCGGAAGCCUGAUGCAGCAACGCCGCGUGCGGGAUGACGGCCUUCGGGUUGUAAACCGCUUUCGCCUGUGACGAAGCGUGAGUGACGGUAAUGGGUAAAGAAGCACCGGCUAACUACGUG
RNAcentral lists this ribosomal RNA (468 nucleotides) under uncultured bacterium. Its description in RNAcentral is "partial 16S ribosomal RNA". It matches the Rfam family "Bacterial small subunit ribosomal RNA", at positions 28 to 507 of the family's 1533-position model. The record is from RNAcentral.